Molecule: ribosomal RNA, 398 nt
Filed under: uncultured bacterium
Lineage: Bacteria
Description: bacterial SSU rRNA
Rfam family: Bacterial small subunit ribosomal RNA
Source: RNAcentral
AUUGAACGCUGGCGGCAUGCCUUACACAUGCAAGUCGAACGGCAGCACGGGAGCAAUCCUGGUGGCGAGUGGCGAACGGGUGAGUAAUAUAUCGGAACGUGCCCAGUCGUGGGGGAUAACGUAGCGAAAGCUACGCUAAUACCGCAUACGAUCUAUGGAUGAAAGCGGGGGAUCGCAAGACCUCGCGCGAUUGGAGCGGCCGAUAUCAGAUUAGGUAGUUGGUGAGGUAAAGGCUCACCAAGCCGACGAUCUGUAGCUGGUCUGAGAGGACGGACCAGCCACACUGGGACUGAGACACGGCCCAGACUCCUACGGGAGGCAGCAGUGGGGAAUUUUUGGGACAAUGGGCGCAAGCCUGAUCCAGCAAUGCCGCGUGCAGGAUGAAGGCCUUCGGGUUG